GUAGGUGAACCUGCGGAAGGAUCAUUAUUGAAUAAACUUGAUGGGUUGUUGCUGGCUCCUAGGAGCAUGUGCACACUUGUCACCUUUAUCCAUCCAUCUGUGCACCUUUUGUAGUCUUGGAGGUGUCUAACAAGUGUGCGUUCUGGGUCCAUUCAUGGUCUCCAGGAAUGGAGUCUGCUAUGUUGAGUGUGGCUGACUCUGGUGUCUCAUGCAUGCGUGUGUACCCUCUGAGUCUAUGUUUUUCUUAUACACCACAAUUGUAUGUUUCAGAAUGUAUUAUCACAGGCCUCUGUGCCUAUAAAACACUAUACAACUUUCAGCAACGGAUCUCUUGGCUCUC
RNAcentral lists this unclassified non-coding RNA (340 nucleotides) under rhizosphere metagenome. RNAcentral's name for it is "partial ribosomal RNA internal transcribed spacer region". The record is from RNAcentral.